AUGAACGCUGGCGGCGUGCCUAAUACCUGCAAGUCGCGCGCACAGACGAGGAGCUUGCUCCUCUGACGUUAGCGGCGGACGGGUGAGUAACACGUGGAUAACCUACCUAUAAGACUGGGAUAACUUCGGGAAACCGGAGCUAAUACCGGAUAAUAUAUUGAACCGCAUGGUUCAAUAGUGAAAGACGGUUUUGCUGUCACUUAUAGAUGGAUCCGCGCCGCAUUAGCUAGUUGGUAAGGUAACGGCUUACCAAGGCGACGAUGCGUAGCCGACCUGAGAGGGUGAUCGGCCACACUGGAACUGAGACACGGUCCAGACUCCUACGGGAGGCAGCAGUAGGGAAUCUUCCGCAAUGGGCGAAAGCCUGACGGAGCAACGCCGCGUGAGUGAUGAAGGUCUUCGGAUCGUAAAACUCUGUUAUUAGGGAAGAACAAAUGUGUAAGUAACGAUGCACGUCUUGACGGUACCUAAUCAGAAAGCCACGGCGAACUACGU
RNAcentral lists this ribosomal RNA (495 nucleotides) under uncultured bacterium. Its description in RNAcentral is "partial 16S ribosomal RNA". It matches the Rfam family "Bacterial small subunit ribosomal RNA", at positions 29 to 506 of the family's 1533-position model. The record is from RNAcentral.